GGGAAACUGCCUGAUGGAGGGGGAUAACUACUGGAAACGGUAGCUAAUACCGCAUAACGUCGCAAGACCAAAGAGGGGGACCUUCGGGCCUCUUGCCAUCAGAUGUGCCCAGAUCGGAUUAGGUAGUAGGUGGGGUAAUGGCUCACCUAGGCGACGAUCCCUAGCUGGUCUGAGAGGAUGACCAGCCACACUGGAACUGAGACACGGUCCAGACUCCUACGGGAGGCAGCAGUGGGGAAUAUUGCACAAUGGGCGCAAGCCUGAUGCAGCCAUGCCGCGUGUGUGAAGAAGGCCUUCGGGUUGUAAAGCACUUUCAGCGAGGAGGAAGGUGGUGAGUUUAAUACGUUCAUCAAUUGACGUUACUCGCAGAAGAAGCACCGGCUAACUCCGUGCCAGCAGCCGCGGUAAUACGGAGGGUGCAAGCGUUAAUCGGAAUUACUGGGCGUAAAGCGCACGCAGGCGGUUUGUUAAGUCAGAUGUGAAAUCCCCGGGCUCAACCUGGGAACUGCAUUUGAAACUGGCAAGCUAGAGUCUGGUAGAGGGGGGUAGAAUUCCAGGUGUAGCGGUGAAAUGCGUAGAGAUCUGGAGGAAUACCGGUGGCGAAGGCGGCCCCCUGGACGAAGACUGACGCUC
This 633-nucleotide ribosomal RNA is filed under the name Serratia marcescens. RNAcentral describes it as "bacterial SSU rRNA". It matches the Rfam family "Bacterial small subunit ribosomal RNA", at positions 120 to 748 of the family's 1533-position model. The record is from RNAcentral. Lineage: Bacteria; Pseudomonadati; Pseudomonadota; Gammaproteobacteria; Enterobacterales; Yersiniaceae.